AGGACGAACGCUGGCGGCGCGCCUAAAACAUGCAAGUCGAACGAGAAGCCCGGGCUUGCCCGGGUGGACAGUGGCGAACGGGUGAGUAACACGUGAGGAACCUGCCCCGAAGACCGGGACAACACCGGGAAACCGGUGCUAAUACCGGAUACCUUCACCGGAUCGCAUGGUCUGGUGAAGAAAUGGAUUCCGCUUCGGGAUGGCCUCGCGGCCUAUCAGCUUGUUGGUGAGGUAACGGCUCACCAAGGCAACGACGGGUAGCUGGUCUGAGAGGAUGUCCAGCCACACUGGGACUGAGACACGGCCCAGACUCCUACGGGAGGCAGCAGUGGGGAAUCUUGCGCAAUGCGCGAAAGCGUGACGCAGCAACGCCGCGUGGGGGAAGAAGGCUUUCGGGUUGUAAACCCCUUUCAGUUGGGACGAAGCUUCUUCGGUGAAUAGCCGAACGGAGUGACGGUACCUUCACAAGAAGCACCGGCUAACUACGCGCCAGCAGCCGCGGU
RNAcentral lists this ribosomal RNA (503 nucleotides) under uncultured bacterium. RNAcentral's name for it is "SSU rRNA". It matches the Rfam family "Bacterial small subunit ribosomal RNA", at positions 26 to 521 of the family's 1533-position model. The record is from RNAcentral.